UAAACAUAUACAUUUAUAUAAAAAGACACUUUACUAAAAUUCAUUUUUAACACUACAUUUAAACUGAUCCCUGAGAAAUACAAAACAGAAAAAUAAUCAAAUAAAAUACUGUAAACUUUUCACCAUAUAAAAAAUUGUUGUUGUUUUUAUUUAUCAUAUUAAAUCAGAUAUGUUGUGAUCUUCCUGGUUUAACUGUCAUCAGAAAAGUUCAAGAGUCAACAGAAUGACAGUUUAAUACAUAGUGACCACAAUGGCCAUGCCAGAAAUAGUAGUUUUGAUUACUUUUAAUCAUACAAAGAUGUAAAAAUUAUUUUCCUGAAUUGCCCAUGUGACACAUCUAAUGCUGAUUAGUAUUAUAUUAAUCAUAUAAUAAUUAUAUAAAUUUAUUCAUUUUAUAAUGAUUAAUAAUUUUUAAAUUGGUUGGCAUUGAAUAUUGUGAUUUUCCAAUCAAAUAAAAACUGACAAUUUAUACAAAUGAUCUUCAUGUCUCCUUAUUUUUAAUUCAUACAUCAUAGUGUUAAGUGUGAUUUUUAAAGAUAGGUCUAUGUACUUGUUUUAUAGUUAAUGAAUAAAAUCAGUCAAAAUGCAUUUUUACCAAUAUGUUAUAGCUUGAUGUUGCAAAAAGAAAAAAAAUGACACUAGCAGCAACAUUAUCUCCCUUGUAAUUGUAACAUAUGCCAUUUCAGUAGUUCAAUAGUUCAGUUAAUAAACAAUUUGUCCAGAAAUAUAAUAUUGUCAGAACAUGACCUCAUAAGAUCAUGGAUGGGAAUAACUACAUGUAUGUUUAAUAGUGAGCAGGAUAUGUUCAGUUCUUUAUAAUAGUUGCUUUAAAAAAAACAAUUUUAUCUAGCAAUAAUUAUUUUCAAUUCACUUUAGGAAUGUUUCAAAUAUUCAUGAAUCAUGCAUAUGAUAUAUACCAUCUAGAACUGUUUUAAUACCAAAACUGGAAUCUACACUUACUUUUUUUCAACAUUUCAGUAUAAUUUACAUUACAUGUACAUGUAUGUUUCAUUAUGAUAUGUCAUUUUGAUUUGCCAACAGCAAUCUCUUGUAAUUCUGAAACUAACCUUCAUUUCAAAAUGAAAUGUAUUUAUUAUGACACAAGCUCCCUUGAUAAAGUGUACAGGUAAAGAAAGAAAAACUUGAUAGAAAUCCUGUUUUCAUGAUCCUUAAAUAAAAUAGUAAAAAAAAAAAAGUAUUGAAUACUUCUUAUAGUAAUUUUAUUGGGUUGUAAUUUAACUUGUAAAAGUGGUGAUAAUGUGCACAUUUUUAGAAUGAAGCAAUCCACGCUUCAUACAAAAUGUGCUUCGGUCAAGGCUUU
RNAcentral lists this long non-coding RNA (1321 nucleotides) under Mytilus galloprovincialis (Mediterranean mussel). The record is from RNAcentral. Lineage: Eukaryota; Metazoa; Mollusca; Bivalvia; Mytilida; Mytilidae.